This 466-nucleotide ribosomal RNA is filed under the name uncultured bacterium. RNAcentral's name for it is "bacterial SSU rRNA". It matches the Rfam family "Bacterial small subunit ribosomal RNA", at positions 329 to 792 of the family's 1533-position model. The record is from RNAcentral.
UUCCAGACUCCUACGGGAGGCAGCAGUGAGGAAUAUUGGUCAAUGGGCGCGAGCCUGAACCAGCCAAGUCGCGUGAGGGAAGACGGUCCUAUGGAUUGUAAACCUCUUUUGUCGGGGAGCAAAAGACGCCACGCGUGGCGUUCCGAGAGUACCCGAAGAAAAAGCAUCGGCUAACUCCGUGCCAGCAGCCGCGGUAAUACGUAGGGGGCAAGCGUUAUCCGGAUUUACUGGGUGUAAAGGGAGCGUAGACGGCUGUGCAAGUCUGAAGUGAAAGCCCAGGGCUCAACCCUGGGACUGCUUUGGAAACUGUGGAGCUAGAGUGCUGGAGAGGUAAGUGGAAUUCCUAGUGUAGCGGUGAAAUGCGUAGAUAUUAGGAGGAACACCAGUGGCGAAGGCGGCUUACUGGACAGUAACUGACGUUGAGGCUCGAAAGCGUGGGGAGCAAACAGGAUUAGAUACCCCCGUA